Molecule: ribosomal RNA, 468 nt
Filed under: uncultured bacterium
Lineage: Bacteria
Description: partial 16S ribosomal RNA
Rfam family: Bacterial small subunit ribosomal RNA
Source: RNAcentral
GACGAACGCUGGCGGCGUGCUUAACACAUGCAAGUCGAACGGAAAGGCCCUGCUUUUGUGGGGUGCUCGAGUGGCGAACGGGUGAGUAACACGUGAGUAACCUGCCCUUGACUUUGGGAUAACUUCAGGAAACUGGGGCUAAUACCGGAUAGGAGCUCCUGCUGCACGGUGGGGGUUGGUAAGAUUCGGCGGUUGGGGCUGGAAUCGAGGCUUAUCAGCUUGUUGGUGGGGUAGUGGCUUACCAAGGCUUUGACGGGUAGCCGGCCUGAGAGGGGGACCGGCCACAUUGGGACUGAGAUACGGCCCAGACUCCUACGGGAGGCAGCGGUGGGGAGUAUUGCACAAUGGGCGGAAGCCUGAUGCAGCAACGCCGCGUGCGGGAUGACGUCCUUCGGGUUGUAAACCGCUGUCGCCUGUGACGAAGCGUGAGUGACGGUAAUGGGUAAAGAAGCACCGGCUAACUACGUG